This 305-nucleotide ribosomal RNA is filed under the name uncultured bacterium. RNAcentral describes it as "bacterial SSU rRNA". It matches the Rfam family "Bacterial small subunit ribosomal RNA", at positions 332 to 654 of the family's 1533-position model. The record is from RNAcentral.
CAGGCCCUACGGGGGGCAGCAGUGGGGGAUAUUGCACAAUGGGGGAAACCCUGAUGCAGCGACGCCGCGUGGGCGAAGAAGUAUUUCGGUAUGUAAAGCCCUAUCAGCAGGGAAGAACAAUGACGGUACCUGACUAAGAAGCACCGGCUAAAUACGUGCCAGCAGCCGCAGUAAUACGUAUGGUGCAAGCGUUAUCCGGAUUUACUGGGUGUAAAGGGAGCGCAGGCGGCGCGUUAAGCCUGGUGUGAAAGCCCGCGGCCCAACCGCGGGACUGCAUUGGGAACUGGCGCGCUGGAGUGCCGGAG